CCUACGGGUGGCUGCAGUGAGGAAUAUUGGACAAUGGGCGCGAGCCUGAACCAGCGAAGUAGCGUGAAGGAAGAAUGCCCUACGGGUUGUAAGCUUCGUUUAUAAGGGAGUAAAGUGAGGCACGUGUGCCUUUUUGUAUGUACUUUAUGAAUAAGGAUCGGCUAACUCCGUGCCAGCAGCCGCGGUAAUACGGAGGAUCCGAGCGUUAUCCGGAUUUAUUGGGUUUAAAGGGAGCGUAGAUGGGUUGUUAAGUCAGUUGUGAAAGUUUGCGGCUCAACCGUAAAACUGCAAUUGAUACUGGCAGUCUUGAGUACAGGUGAGGUAGGCGGAAUUCGUGGUGUAGCGGUGAAAUGCGUAGAUAUCACGAAGAACUCCGAUUGCGAAGGCAGCUUACUAAACUGCCACUGACAUUGAUGCUCGAAAGUGUGGGUAUCAAACAGGAUUAGAUACCCUAGUAGUC
This 460-nucleotide ribosomal RNA is filed under the name uncultured bacterium. Its description in RNAcentral is "partial 16S ribosomal RNA". It matches the Rfam family "Bacterial small subunit ribosomal RNA", at positions 338 to 795 of the family's 1533-position model. The record is from RNAcentral.